RNAcentral lists this ribosomal RNA (429 nucleotides) under Triticum aestivum (bread wheat). Its description in RNAcentral is "partial small subunit ribosomal RNA". Lineage: Eukaryota; Viridiplantae; Streptophyta; Magnoliopsida; Poales; Poaceae. The record is from RNAcentral.
AUGUCGCCGUUGUGCUCGAGUUCGUGCUCAAGUUCGGAUACAUCCUUCCGGGGUUUGUCGCUGGUGGCUGCCAUGGCGGACGCGGAGGCGGCGCGUGAUGAGCGUCUGGUGUGGUCGGGCUCGUCGGGUGCGUGCGAGACGUGUGGGACGCACUGGUGCGGUUGGACUUGUCGGGCGCGUCGAGUGCGUGCAGGACGUGCGAGGCGUAGAGGGACGCCAGGUGUGUGUCGCCGGCGGAGAAGGAGCUCGGCAUAUGUCGCCGGGGUCGUGACGGAGCACGGUACAACCGGCGUCGGUGCGCCAGGUCGGGUCCGCGGGCUGGGUCACGGUCAUGGCGGCGGCAUCGACGACAGAAGACCUACUCUGGCGACAAUGCGCAAGUCGUGGUUUAGGGGGAAUAUGUUAGGAGUAAACCACGUCUCGAUGUGA